GACGAACGCUGGCGGCGUGCUUAACACAUGCAAGUCGAACGGAAAGGCCCUGCUUUUGUGGGGUGCUCGAGUGGCGAACGGGUGAGUAACACGUGAGUAACCUGCCCUUGACUUUGGGAUAACUUCAGGAAACUGGGGCUCAUACCGGAUAGGAGCUCCUGCUGCAUGGUGGGGGUUGGAAAGUUUCGGCGGUUGGGGAUGGACUCGCGGCUUAUCAGCUUGUUGGUGGGGUAGUGGCUUACCAAGGCUUUGACGGGUAGCCGGCCUGAGAGGGUGACCGGCCACAUUGGGACUGAGAUACGGCGCAGACUCCUACGGGAGGCAGCAGUGGGGAAUAUUGCACAAUGGGCGGAAGCCUGAUGCAGCAACGCCGCGUGCGGGAUGACGGCCUUCGGGUUGUAAACCGCUGUCGCCUGUGACGAAGCGGGAGUGACGGUAAUGGGUAAAGAAGCACCGGCUAACUACGUG
Molecule: ribosomal RNA, 468 nt
Filed under: uncultured bacterium
Lineage: Bacteria
Description: partial 16S ribosomal RNA
Rfam family: Bacterial small subunit ribosomal RNA
Source: RNAcentral